RNAcentral lists this ribosomal RNA (497 nucleotides) under uncultured bacterium. RNAcentral's name for it is "partial 16S ribosomal RNA". It matches the Rfam family "Bacterial small subunit ribosomal RNA", at positions 28 to 507 of the family's 1533-position model. The record is from RNAcentral.
GAUGAACGCUGGCGGCGUGCCUAAUACAUGCAAGUCGAGCGAACAGACGAGGAGCUUGCUCCUCUGACGUUAGCGGCGGACGGGUGAGUAACACGUGGAUAACCUACCUAUAAGACUGGGAUAACUUCGGGAAACCGGAGCUAAUACCGGAUAAUAUAUUGAACCGCAUGGUUCAAUAGUGAAAGACGGUUUUGCUGUCACUUAUAGAUGUAUCCGCGCCGCAUUAGCUAGUUGGUAAGGUAACGGCUUACCAAGGCAACGAUGCGUAGCCGACCUGAGAGGGUGAUCGGCCACACUGGAACUGAGACACGGUCCAGACGCCUACGGGAGGCAGCAGUAGGGAAUCUUCCGCAAUGGGCGAAAGCCUGACGGAGCAACGCCGCGUGAGUGAUGAAGGUCUUCGGAUCGUAAAACUCUGUUAUUAGGGAAGAACAAAUGUGUAAGUAACUAUGCACGUCUUGACGGUACCUAAUCAGAAAGCCACGGCUAACUACGUG